This 488-nucleotide ribosomal RNA is filed under the name uncultured bacterium. RNAcentral describes it as "bacterial SSU rRNA". It matches the Rfam family "Bacterial small subunit ribosomal RNA", at positions 30 to 507 of the family's 1533-position model. The record is from RNAcentral.
AUUGAACGCUAGCGGCAUGCUUAACACAUGCAAGUCGAACGGCAGCGCGAGGAGCUUGCUCCUUGGCGGCGAGUGGCGGACGGGUGAGUAAUGCGUAGGAAUCUGCCUCGUAGUGGGGGACAACCCGGGGAAACUCGGGCUAAUACCGCAUAAUCUCUACGGAGCAAAGAGGGGGACCUUCGGGCCUCUCGCUGUGAGAUGAGCCUACGUCGGAUUAGCUUGUUGGUGGGGUAAAGGCCUACCAAGGCGACGAUCCGUAGCUGGUCUGAGAGGACGAUCAGCCACACUGGGACUGAGACACGGCCCAGACUCCUACGGGAGGCAGCAGUGGGGAAUAUUGGACAAUGGGCGCAACCCUGAUCCAGCCAUGCCGCGUGUGUGAAGAAGGCCUUCGGGUUGUAAAGCACUUUCAGUAGGGAAGAAAUGCCUAGGGUUAAUACCCUUGGGUCUUGACGGUACCUACAGAAGAAGCACCGGCUAAUUCCGUG